This 492-nucleotide ribosomal RNA is filed under the name uncultured bacterium. Its description in RNAcentral is "partial 16S ribosomal RNA". It matches the Rfam family "Bacterial small subunit ribosomal RNA", at positions 29 to 507 of the family's 1533-position model. The record is from RNAcentral.
AGUGAACGCUGGCGGUAGGCCUAACACAUGCAAGUCGAACGGCAGCACAGUAAGAGCUCGCCCUUACGGGUGGCGAGUGGCGGACGGGUGAGGAAUACAUCGGAAUCUACUUUUUCGUGGGGGAUAACGUAGGGAAACUUACGCUAAUACCGCAUACGACCUACGGGUGAAAGCAGGGGAUCUUCGGACUCUGCGUGACUGAAUUAGCCGAUGUCGGAUUAGCUAGUUGGCGUGGUAAAGGCCCACCAAGGCGACGAUCCGUAGCUGGUCUGAGAGGAUGAUCAGCCACACUGGAACUGAGACACGGUCCAGACUCCUACGGGAGGCAGCAGUAGGGAAUAUUGGACAAUGGGCGCAAGCCUGAUGCAGCCAUACCGCGUGAGUGAAGAAGGCCUUCGGAUUGUAAAGCCCUUUUGUUGGGAAAGAAAAGCAGCAGAUUAAUACCCCGCUAUUCUGACGGUACCCAAAGAAAAAGCACCGGCUAACUUCGUG